RNAcentral lists this long non-coding RNA (8875 nucleotides) under Homo sapiens (human). RNAcentral describes it as "HSALNT0388187". Lineage: Eukaryota; Metazoa; Chordata; Mammalia; Primates; Hominidae. The record is from RNAcentral.
GGCCUCCCAAAGUGCUGGGAUUACAGGCAUGAGCCACCACGCCCGGCCGACACAUUUUUAAUAGAACCAAGGAGAGCUUGCUUUUUGAGAGAGGGCAGCUGAGAGAGGGGGCCUAAGAGAAUCACAUCCUAGUUCCAGUAGGAUGUCCUCUAGGCCACCAGGCUGGUUUAAUGGCCAAGGUGCUUCCAGAGAGAGGAAGCCCUGGGGAAGGAUGAUAGAGAGUACAGAAAACAGGGAGUACACAAUGGCUGCAUGACCGAGUUCAGGCCCUGGGAAGGUAUGAAAGCUGGAUCCUACCUGUGCUGGCAGACCUGGAGUUGUUGCCACAGAGGGCCGAUAAGAUUGUGAGUACAGGACUACUGAGGGCUACUGAAGGAUCGCAAAGAAGUGUUUGCACUGGCCGAGUGCAGUAGCUCAUGCUUGUAAUCCUAGCACUUCAGGAGGCCAAGGCAGGCGGAUCACUUGAGUCCAGGAGUUCAUGAUCAGCUUGGGCAACAUAGCAAGACCCUGUCUCUAUAUACACACACACACAACACACACACACACACACACACACACACACACUCUUACACUUAGCCAGGUGUGGCGGCAUGUGCCUAUAGUCACAGCUACUCAGGAGGUUAAGCUCCUCCUCAGCUACUCAGGGGGUUUCACCAUGUUGGCCAGGGUGGUCUUGAACUCCUAAUCUCAAGUGAUCCGCAUGCCUCGGCCUCCCAAAGUUCUGGGAUUACAGGCGUGAGCCACCCUGCCCACCCAGAAUGAACUUUCAAAAGGGAACAAGGAUUAGAGAAGGGAGUGACACUGAAUAGAACCAGAGAGAAGGGGCUUGGGGGCAGGAAGUUGAGAGCUCACACCUAAGUUUCCAUUUCCUCUGAGGUGGGAGGCAAAGUCAACAGUGUGGGGGUUGAGGUGGGAGGGGUCCGGCUUGAGCAGAGCAGUGCAAUAGCACGCACCAACUCCUCCACCUUCCAGCCCAGUCCCCAUCCCCCAUUCCCAUGGCGCUUUCUUCACAAUUUUAGUUGGUGGAGCCUCUCUCGUGAGGCCAUCCUUUCUCCUUGCCUACCGCAUCCCAAGAAGAACUCAGCUACGUGAAGGGAUGUCACUACCCCCUGCAAUAUGUAUAUGUGAAAUAUGUUGGGCGCGGUGGCUCAUGCCUGUAAUCCCAGCACUUUGGGAGGCCGAGGCAGGCAGAUCAUGAGGUCAGGAGUUCAAGACCAGCCUGGCCAACAUGGUGAAACCCCGUCUCUACUAAAAUACAAAAAUUAGCCAGGCAUGGUGGUGUGCACCUGUAAUCUCAGCUACUUGGGAGGCUGAGGCAGGAGAAUUGCUUGACACUGGGAGGCGGAGGUUGUGGUGAGCCGAGAUCACGCCACUGCACUCCAGCCUGGGCAACAGAGCUAGACUCCUUCUCCAAACAAAAUUUUAAAAAUGAAAAAUAAGUUGGGCAUGGUGGCACGCGCCUGUGGCCCCAGCUACAUGGGAGGUUGAAGUGGGAGGAUUGUUGGAGCCCAGGAAGUUGAGGCUGUAGUGAGCUGCAGUCACGCCACUGCACUGCAGCCUGGGUGACAGAGCCAAAUCUUGUCUCAAAAAAAAAAAAAAUGCAUUGAGCACAGUGGCUCACACCUGUAAUCUCAACAGUUUUGGAGGCUGAGGCAGGAGGAUCACUGAAGGCCAGGAGUUAGCAACCAGCCUGGGCAACACAGCAAGACCUUGUCUCUACAAAAAAAAUUAAAAAUUUGCCAGGCAAGGUGGUGCAUGCCUAUAGUCCCAGCUACUCAAGAAGCUUAGGUGAGAGGAUUGCUUGAGCCCAGGGAUUCGAGGCUACAUUGGGCCAUGAAUGUGCCACUGCACUCCAGCCUGAGUGACAGAGUAAGACCCUGUCUCAAAAAAAAAAGAAAAAACAGUGAAAUGCAUUUUUCUUCCAACUGAGCCUGUGACAGUGACAGUUGUCUCUUGGUGUAUUUGUUCUUUUUAUUUGUUUGUUCCUUGUCUGUCUCCCACACUGAUGGGCAAGCAGCAUAAGAGCAGAGGCUUUGCCUGUAAUUACCACUGUGUUUCUAGCGCCUAGAACAUCACCUGGGGCAGGACAUACCAUACAUAUCUGUGAAUAUACGAAAGAAUGGAUGAUGCCCCAGUCUCUUUCCCCUGCUAUAGAUGGACCUCCCACCCGAGAAUGCAGGCAGAAGUCACUUUGGGUCCAGUAACUGAAAUUACUGUGCUGUGCAGUCUAAUUCCAAAGCCUCAUCUGGACACGCGACCCUGGGCAGGCUCCCCGUCCUGCGCUGGCCAUUGGCUACUGGGGCCAAGAGGCUGGCUGGGAAGCAGUGGCAAUCCAAUGCUGGGGAGGUGGAGUUCCAGCUUCCCCUUUGUUUCUCCCCAUUCCUCUAGUUGUCCAUGACAUUUUCAAGGAACAUGAGUGAGCCUGUUGCAGUUCUGGGUGGUUUCAGUGGAAAGGAUUUGGCAAGACCUUCCACAGUGAAGAGGGCGUGUGAGUGGGAGAGCAACUGAAGGCAGUCAACACAUCAGCUUCACUUUCAUUUCUCCAAAGGGCAUUUCCAGGGUGUCAGGGACAGAAAUCACAUUUUCCUUCACCAGGAAUUUCUGAGACUGUGGGUUUAUUUAGCUUUUUUUUUUUUUUUUUUUUUUUUUUUGAGACAGAGUCUUGCUCUGUUGCCCAGGCUGGAGUGCAGUGGCGCGACCUUGGCUCACUGCAACCUCCAUCUCCCCGGUUCAAGCAAUUCUCCUGUCUUAGCCUCCCAAGUAGCUGGGACUACAGUCGCACGCCACCAUGCCCGGCUAAUUUUUAUAUUUUUAGUAGAGAUGGCGUUUCACACCAUAUUGGUCAGGCUGGUCUUGAACUCCUGACUUCAGGUGAUCCACCCGCCUUGGCCUCCCAAAGUGCUGGGAUUACAGGCAUGAGCCACUGCGUCCGGCGUAUUUAGCAUUUUUAAAAGAAGAUCUUCAGUAAGAAAUAUGGUUUACGUUGUGAUAGUUAUUCACGUAUUCACAUAAAUGAAGCGCUGAAGGGCCCUAGGCUGGCCAUCAAGGGAACAAGUUCCCCUCCCCUCCCCUUCCCCCAUCUCCUUUCUCCCCUCUUCUCCUUUCUCCUCUCUGCUCCUCUCCUCUCCACUCCUCUCCUCUCCGGUCCUCUCCUCUCUCCUUUCUCCUCUCCUCUUCUCUCCUUUCUUCUCUCCUCUCCUUUUUCUCCUCUCCUUUCCCUUCUUUUCCUUUUUGUAGAGACAAAAAAAUGUUGUAGACACACAAAAAAUGUUGCCUAGGCUGGUUUCAAACUCUGGGCCCCAAGUGAUCCUCCGCCCCAGCCUCCCAAAGUACCAGGAUUACAGGCAUGAGCCACUGCACCUGGCCAGAGGGAAUAGGUUUCCUGUUCCCACUUAGCUGUUGCACUUGGAAUAAGAUGCUUAACGUCUCCUUGCAGGCUUCUGAAAAGCUUCCAAGAGAUGUUGCAUGCAAAAGAGCUCUGUGUGCAGAAGAUCACCAAGCAUGAGGCAUUAUUAAGGGCAAACCAACCAAGUUCUAUUUACAAUAGCAAGUGUCUUCUAAGAAGGGCAGCUACCGACCAGGAGAGUCCCCUAUUCUCCCUGCAGAGGAUCUGCAGAUCUGCAAAGCUGGCUGGGUUAGGAAUGAAGUUUGCUGGUAGGAACUGGGGAAUGUUGAAUUCCUCUGGGUUAUAGAAGGGGAGAAUUUGGAGUUCUGGGAGGGAAGGUGAUGAGAAGAAGGGAUGGAAAGAUGAAAAGGGAAGCCAGCAGGAUGGUGCAAAGGUGGGAGUGAACCCGAGGGCUAGAUUAGGCCUGCAGAACUUAACCUACCUUACUUGAUUUUAGUCACUUGCUUCUAGUUGAUCUUAAAACCUAUAUAGCUACUGGGGGCAGUGGCUCACACUUGUAAUCCCAGCACUUUGGGAGGCCGAGGCUGGAGGAUCACUUGAGCCCAGGAGUUCAAGACCAGCCUAGGCAACACAGCGAGACUUUCUCUCUACUGAAAAUAAAAACAAAACAAAACAAAACAAAACAAAACCAGAUGUGGCGGCAUGUGCCUGUAGUCCCAGAUACUCAGGAGGCUGAGGUGGGAGGAUGGCUUGACUCUAGGAGAUUGAGGCUGCAGUGAGCUGUGAUUACCAUCAGUGCACUCUAGCCUGGGUUAUAGAGUGAGACCCUGUCUUUAAAAAAGAAAAAAGCCUAUAGAGCUAAAAGUCAUGUAGCUAAGCAAUAUUUAACUGGACUUCCACUAGCUUCCUGCUGGAUAACAUCUCUGACAUAUAGGUCAUCAUAGUAAUGGUUGUUUAAGUUGUUUUUCAAGGGCUGGGCACGGUGGCUCACGCCUGUAAUCCCAGCACUUUGGGAGGCCAAGGUAGGCAGAUCACCUGAAGUCAGGAGUUCGAGACCAGCCUGGCCAAGAUGGUGAAACCCCGUCUCUACUAAAAAUACAGAAAUUAGCCUGGUGUGGUGGCAGGCGCCUGUAAUCCCAGCCACUCGGAAGGCUGAGGGAGAAUCAUUUGAACCCAGGAGGUAGAGGUUGCAGUGAGCCUCCAGGAUCACGCCAUUGCACUCCAGCCUGAGUGACGAGAGUGAAACUCCAUCUCAAAAAAAAAAAAAGAAAAGAAAAAAAGUUGUUUUUCAGGAACUUGGGGUCAGCUCUUAUCCAGUUCAAGCCACUUAUGACCAUCAAUCCUUCAACUUGGUCUGUGUGAGUGUCCAGUAGGUGACGUUUGAUGUCAGAGCGCCAAAAACUCCAUCUUCCAUCAUGCUAAUGCCACCAUUUUGUGAACCUGCAUCCUAUGAAGAACGAUGAAGCUUGACUAGGCUUGCACAGAUUGCCGAUGUCCUACUUUUCCCUCCAAUCACCUUCCCCACACCUUAGGCCACCUGCUUCUUUGUCCCAUAAACGUCUCUAAACCCCAUCUUCGAGGAAGUGGGUUUGAGACCUGUUUUCCCAUCUCCUCACUUGGCUGCCUCAUGAAUAAAUGCAUUCUGUGCUGCAAAACUGGUCAUCUUGGCGGGACGCGGUGGCUCACGCCUGUAAUCCCAGCACUUUGGGAGGCUGAGGCGGGCGGAUCACGAGGUCAGGAGAUCAAGACCAUCCUGGCUAACACAAUGAAACCCUGUCUCUACUUAAAAAAUACAAAAAAUUAGCCAGGCAUGGUGGCAGGCGCCUGUAGUCCCAGCUACUCGGGAGGCUGAGGCAGGAGAAUGGCGUGAACCCGGGAGGCGGAGCUUGCAGUGAGCCGAGAUUGCGCCACUGCACUCCAGCCUGGGCGACAGAGCGAGACUCCGUCUCAAAAACAAAAAAAAAAAACUGGUCACCUCAGUGAUUGGCUUACUGUGCGAUGAGCAGAAUGGGCCUCAUUUGGUAUCAAGAGGAGGAGCUGAUAGAAAAUGCUCAGGGAUGGGCUGGCAAAGACAUUUUCAGAGCAGCGCCGUGUUAUGUUCUGUGUGCAGUUGUUUGCGCUGAUGCGUUACAAGCCCCUCUGGUGGUCCCCCGCUGAGUCUUUGGUAAAGUCUGCUGCAUCUGCCAAUUCUUUUGUGAGCAGAUUUGUUCUAGGGGUGUGGGGGACUAAGAAAGGGGUGGAAUAUAAACAGUGCAGUGUAAACAGUGCAGUAUAAACAGUGCAGUAUAAACAGUAUAAACAGUGCAAACAGUGCAGUGUAAACAGCGCAGUGUAAACAGUUUUACCCACAGAGGCUGCAGGCCCAUUGCUGACCAUGGAAAAAGAGGUGGGCUCCUCGGGAGUCCACAGAAGUCCUGGGGAGGGCUUUGGACUUCGGCAGGCCUGGAAUGAGGGUUCGAACUAAUCUCAGUCUAGAUCUCGAGGGUCUGAGAGGCUGUAGAGAACAUUUAGGCCGGUUGGCAUGAGCAGUUCUUGCCCCAGUUCACCUCUAAUUCCCCGACUGUUGCUGUUCAUGCUAAGUGAGGCCUUGUUCCCACUCGUUCUUCUUCUUUUUUUUUUUUUGAGAUGGCGUCUUGCUCUGUCACCCAGGCUAGACUCCACUGGUGCAAUCUCAGCUCACUGCAACCUCUACUUCCUGGUUCAAGCUAUUCUCCUGUGUCAGCCUCCUGAGUAGCUGGGAUUACCGACACGCACCACCAUACCCGGCUAAUUUUUGUGUAUUUUUAGUAGAGAUGGGGUUUUGCCAUGUUGGCCUGGCUGGUCUCAAACUCCUGACCUCAAGUGAUCCACCUGCCUCGGCCUCCCAAAGUGCUGGGAUUACAGGCGUGAGCCACUGAGCCUCGCUCCACUUGUCCUUCUCACUGAUGUCAGCACCAGAAAUGGCCAUGUGGAUAGUCACUGGCAACUUAAAACCCAAGUGUGCAUGGGGAAGUGCACGGCAGGGUCAUUAAAAGGAGUCCAGCCUCUCUUCUUCCCUUCUCUAUACUUUCACUUCUGGAAAAGACCGGAAACCUUGCCUCAUUCCUCUUUCUCCCAUGGCCCCAUCCCCACCCCGCUUCAGCCCAUCAGCCUCCAAAUGUAGUCCAAGUCCUCAUCUCUGUACCUGGACCAUUGCAUUUUCGCUGGCCCCUAGCCCCCACUGGGCUCCCCACUGGCUGCCAAAUACCAGUGUGACCCUGUCCCUUCCUUGCUUUAAGCCUCUCAGUAGUUUGUUUGUUUGUUUUUGAGAUGGAGUCUUGCUCUGUCACCAGGCUGGAGUGCAGUGACAUAAUCUUGGCUCACUGCAACCUCCACCUCCCGGGCUCAAACGAUUCUCCUGCCUCAGCUUCCCGAGUAGCUGGGGCUAUAGGCGCCCACCACCAUGCCCAGCUAAUUUUUGUAUUUGUAGUAGAGACAGGGUUUCACCAUGUUGGCCAGGCUGGUCUUGAUCUCUUGACCUUGUGAUCUGCCCACCUUGGCCUCCCAAAGUGCUGGGAUUAGAGGCGUGAGCCACCAUGCCCCGCCUGCCUCUCAGUAGUUAUUUACCACUGAAGCAGAGUGAAGCCUGUGCUCCACAUUGCUUCAUGGCCAAGACCUCAGGGACAAGUGGACACACCAGGCAGUGGGAGUGGAUAUGGCAAAGCCAAACCCAGAUCUCUUCUCAAAAUAAUUUUCCAGAGGGCAAAAGCAGAUGGCUACACCGAGAACUCACGCCAGCCCAACACACUUUGAUCUCGAGGCCUCUGGAAGGGAAGGUGCCUAAUGAACUACUGAAAGCCAGAGAUGCAAUGACAAAGGUACCAAGACUGGAGGUGAUCCAGGUCUUUCAUCCAAGAGCCCCAAGACGUAGCCUAAAUUCAUGCUACGGUAAUCCCAGCACUUUGGGAGGCCGAGGCGGGCGGAUCACCUGAGGUCAGGAGUUCGAGAGCAGCCUGGCCAACAUGGUGAAACUCCGUCUCUACUAAAAAUACAGAAAUUAGCCAGGUGUGGUGGCGGGUGCCUGUAAUCCCAGCUACUCAGGAGGCUGAGGCAGGAGAAUCGCUUGAACCCGGGAGGCGGUGGUUGCAGUGAGCCGAGAUCACGUCACUGCACUCCAGCCUGGGCGACAAGAGCGAAACUCCAUCUCAAAAUAAAAUAAAAAUAAAUAAAUUGACACAGUCAGUGCCUCGCUCCCACCCCCACCUCCAGCAUAGCACCAUGACAGUCUUCUCACAUAACAAGUCCCAAAACACACCAUCGGCAUCCAGAAAGUGAGAGUAACUCGUUACAGUUGAGACCUCUCACUCCCGGUCAUUAUCUCAUUUCAAUCCAAGAGGUAGACUUCUUCAUCGCCCCUGACAUACACAUGAGGAAAAGGCCCAGAGAGGUGAAGUGAUGCCUCAGGUCACUCAGCCAGUUACCAGUAGAGCAGAUCCUUCAAUGCAAGUUUUUCUCCAACCCUACACAGCAGUCGUACCAGGGCCCCAGGCUGCAAUCCCCUGGCCCAGUGCUGAUCGGUGGCUCCCAGGGACACGCCCUGAUGCCAGCGCUGGCAGAUGUCUGCUGUGAAGAGAGCAGGAAACUGUCCCUUGGAAAGCUGAGAUGCUUACCUGAACUGUGAAAGUAUCCAUAUGUGAGCAGCUAAGGAGACAGCAGUGGCUGGAGUGCUGCAGCUCAGGCACAGCUGGUGAGAGGCAUUCCUCACUCACAGGCCUUCACCCACUGCUAGAGACAGUGAGCCCCAUCCUGACCACUUCCCCUUUCUAGUCAGCCCACGGGGCAGAGACCCUGGCGUCAUCUCUAGGCAACCAUCCCUUUUCCAGGGAAGCUCAUGACCCACGGCUGUCCAGAAGCCAGAAUCUUCUCACUGCCCCGUGUCGCUCCCGCAAGGCCUACCAGAGGACCCUCAUGGUGUGGUAGGGGGUCCUGGCAGGGGCCAGGGGCCAGGGUGGAGACUUGGCAGUGGGGGUGGGUUUGGUGUCCCCACAGACGAGUUUGCCGUGAGCAUUCCUGGAUGUGGCAACCUCAGUCUCAAGAAGAGCGACAGGACGCCAGCUCCCAUGCAGAGACAGAUCCAGGUAAGAAACCAGCUCAUGUGUGACAAACUCACCAUCUCACCAUGAAGGUGACUCUUGAAAGCUCCUGUGCACCUUGGAACUGCUGAGACAUCUUCUGCUUGGAGGAGGCAAGGGACAGGCUUCCUGUUUCUAAAGGCGUGUGAGUGGCGACCUUGAGAAAUGUGGCCAGUGGAGCAUUUUGACUGAGUUGGGUCCCCUCGUGCAAUACUGUGAGACAGAACUCCCAGCGAGGCCCACGGCCUCUGACCAUGGGGGUUGGAGUGGGGAAACCAAUUAGCCAUUUUGUUGAAUUGGCUGGUUCUGACUCAAAUGAGCAGUCACAUUAGUAAAAAUAGGCAAACGGAUGUGCAUUGUAUUUGCCCAGAGCGAAUGAGUUGUUAUCCAUUUCAGUAAUAAUGAUAACCAGAUAUGUCUGAUAAAUAUCUGAUAAUGU